GGAAUAUUGGACAAUGGGGGCCACCCUGAUCCAGCCAUCCCGCGUGCAGGAAGACGGCCCUCAGGGUUGUAAACUGCUUUUAGGUACCAAGAACCGUACUCAUUUAUGAGUGCCUGACGGUCGUGCCUGCAUAAGCACCGGCUACCCCCGUGCCAGCAGCCGCGGUAAUACGGAGGGUGCAAGCGUUAUCCGGAAUCACUGGGUUUAAAGGGUGCGUAGGUGGCUAGGUAAGUCAGAGGUGAAAGCCCGGCGCUUAACGUCGGAAUUGCCUUUGAUACUGCUUAGCUUGAAUUGGGUUGAGGUAGGCGGAAUGAGUCAUGUAGCGGUGAAAUGCAUAGAUAUGACUUAGAACACCGAUUGCGAAGGCAGCUUACUGGACCUUGAUUGACACUGAGGCACGAAAGCGUGGGGAGCGAAC
This 418-nucleotide ribosomal RNA is filed under the name uncultured bacterium. RNAcentral's name for it is "bacterial SSU rRNA". It matches the Rfam family "Bacterial small subunit ribosomal RNA", at positions 358 to 773 of the family's 1533-position model. The record is from RNAcentral.